UACAGAGGUCUCAAGCGUUGUUCGGAUUCAUUGGGCGUAAAGGGUGCGUAGGUGGCGCCGUAAGUCAGGUGUGAAAUCUCGGGGCUCAACCCCGAAACUGCACUUGAUACUGCGGUGCUCGAGUACUGGAGAGGAGAUUGGAAUUUACGGCGUAGCAGUGAAAUGCGUAGAUAUCGUAAGGAAGACCAGUGGCGAAGGCGAAUCUCUGGACAGUUACUGACACUGAGGCACGAAGGCCAGGGGAGCAAACGGG
RNAcentral lists this ribosomal RNA (253 nucleotides) under uncultured bacterium. Its description in RNAcentral is "partial 16S ribosomal RNA". It matches the Rfam family "Bacterial small subunit ribosomal RNA", at positions 524 to 776 of the family's 1533-position model. The record is from RNAcentral.